AAAGAAAGCGUAAUAGCUCGACUGGUCGAGUCGCCGCGCGGAAGAUGUAACGGGGCUAAACCAUGCACCGAAGCUGCGGCAGCGACACUAUGUGUUGUUGGGUAGGGGAGCGUUCUGUAAGCCUGCGAAGGUGUACUGUGAGGUAUGCUGGAGGUAUCAGAAGUGCGAAUGCUGACAUAAGUAACGAUAAUGCGGGUGAAAAACCCGCACGCCGGAAGACCAAGGGUUCCUGUCCAACGUUAAUCGGGG
This 249-nucleotide ribosomal RNA is filed under the name Shigella sp. FC1967. RNAcentral's name for it is "partial 23S ribosomal RNA". It matches the Rfam family "Bacterial large subunit ribosomal RNA", at positions 1125 to 1374 of the family's 2925-position model. Lineage: Bacteria; Pseudomonadati; Pseudomonadota; Gammaproteobacteria; Enterobacterales; Enterobacteriaceae. The record is from RNAcentral.